CAGCAACUCAAUACUCUUCGACAUCCUCCUCUUAGGCCUCAACAAUAUAGAUAUGAGGUGAUGCACAUAUGGAGGAGAUUGUACAGAGACUUUGGAGCUAGUGAUCUCAGAGCUUUCGAGACACCGCUCAUAAUACUAUCAUUGAGAUUCCUCGAGAUCUGCAUCUGUACGAUCAAUUAGGCUCGUUGUCACAGCCAUC
RNAcentral lists this long non-coding RNA (199 nucleotides) under Elaeis guineensis (African oil palm). Its description in RNAcentral is "long non-coding RNA (EGUI_LNC054547)". The record is from RNAcentral. Lineage: Eukaryota; Viridiplantae; Streptophyta; Magnoliopsida; Arecales; Arecaceae.